RNAcentral lists this ribosomal RNA (1372 nucleotides) under metagenome. RNAcentral describes it as "bacterial SSU rRNA". It matches the Rfam family "Bacterial small subunit ribosomal RNA", at positions 14 to 1386 of the family's 1533-position model. The record is from RNAcentral.
UGAUCCUGGCUCAGGAUGAACGCUAGCGGCAGGCCUAACACAUGCAAGUCGAGGGGUAUAGGGAGCUUGCUCCCUAGAGACCGGCGCACGGGUGCGUAACGCGUAUGCAAUCUGCCCUCUACAGGGGAAUAGCCCAGGGAAACUUGGAUUAAUGCCCCAUAGUAUUAAGGAACGGCAUUGUUCCUUAAUUAAAGAUUUAUCGGUAGGGGAUGAGCAUGCGUACCAUUAGCUAGUUGGUGUGGUAACGGCACACCAAGGCUACGAUGGUUAGGGGCCCUGAGAGGGGGAUCCCCCACACUGGUACUGAGACACGGACCAGACUCCUACGGGAGGCAGCAGUGAGGAAUAUUGGACAAUGGGCGGGAGCCUGAUCCAGCCAUGCCGCGUGCAGGAAGACUGCCCUAUGGGUUGUAAACUGCUUUUUUACGGGAAGAAACACCCCCACGUGUGGGGGCUUGACGGUACCGUACGAAUAAGGAUCGGCUUACUCCGUGCCAGCAGCCGCGGUAAUACGGAGGAUCCGAGCGUUAUCCGGAAUCAUUGGGUUUAAAGGGUCCGUAGGCGGGCGUCUAAGUCAGUGGUGAAAUUCUGCAGCUCAACUGUAGAACUGCCAUUGAUACUGGUCGCCUUGAAUCGUUGUGAAGUGGCUAGAAUAUGUAGUGUAGCGGUGAAAUGCUUAGAUAUUACAUAGAAUACCGAUUGCGAAGGCAGGUCACUAACAACGCAUUGACGCUGAUGGACGAAAGCGUGGGAGCGAACAGGAUUAGAUACCCUGGUAGUCCACGCCGUGAACGAUGGAUACUAGCUGUCCGGCGCACAUUGGUGUGCUGGGUGGCCAAGCGAAAGUGAUAAGUAUCCCACCUGGGGAGUACGUUCGCAAGAAUGAAACUCAAAGGAAUUGACGGGGGCCCGCACAAGCGGUGGAGCAUGUGGUUUAAUUCGAUGAUACGCGAGGAACCUUACCAGGGCUUAAAUGUAGUCUGACAGGAUUGGAAACAGUCUUUUCUUCGGACAGAUUACAAGGUGCUGCAUGGUUGUCGUCAGCUCGUGCCGUGAGGUGUCAGGUUAAGUCCUAUAACGAGCGCAACCCCUGUUGUUAGUUGCCAGCGAGUCAUGUCGGGAACUCUAACAAGACUGCCGGUGCAAACCGUGAGGAAGGUGGGGAUGACGUCAAAUCAUCACGGCCCUUACGUCCUGGGCCACACACGUGCUACAAUGGCAGGUACAAUGGGCAGCCACUGCGCAAGCAGGAGCGAAUCCACAAAACCUGUCUCAGUUCGGAUCGGGGUCUGCAACUCGACCCCGUGAAGCUGGAAUCGCUAGUAGUCGGAUAUCAGCCAUAAUCCGGUGAAUACGUUCCCGGGCCUUGUAC